Molecule: ribosomal RNA, 492 nt
Filed under: uncultured bacterium
Lineage: Bacteria
Description: partial 16S ribosomal RNA
Rfam family: Bacterial small subunit ribosomal RNA
Source: RNAcentral
AGUGAACGCUGGCGGUAGGCCUAACACAUGCAAGUCGAACGGCAGCACAGUAAGAGCUUGCUCUUACGGGUGGCGAGUGGCGGACGGGUGAGGAAUACAUCGGAAUCUACUUUUUCGUGGGGGAUAACGUAGGGAAACUUACGCUAAUACCGCAUACGACCUACGGGUGAAAGCAGGGGAUCUUCGGACCUUGCGCGAUUGAAUGAGCCGAUGUCGGAUUAGCUAGUUGGCGGGGUAAAGGCCCACCAAGGCGACGAUCCGUAGCUGGUCUGAGAGGAUGAUCAGCCACACUGGAACUGAGACACGGUCCAGACUCCUACGGGAGGCAGCAGUGGGGAAUAUUGGACAAUGGGCGCAAGCCUGAUCCAGCCAUACCGCGUGGGUGAAGAAGGCCUUCGGGUUGUAAAGCCCUUUUGUUGGGAAAGAAAAGCAGCAGGUUAAUACCCCGAUGUUCUGACGGUACCCAAAGAAUAAGCAACGGCUAACUUCGUG